RNAcentral lists this microRNA precursor (104 nucleotides) under Mesocricetus auratus (golden hamster). RNAcentral describes it as "miRNA (ENSMAUG00000002919.1)". Lineage: Eukaryota; Metazoa; Chordata; Mammalia; Rodentia; Cricetidae. The record is from RNAcentral.
CUGCAAGAAAUUGAUCAACUCGGGCUGGAGAGAUGGCUCGGCGGUUAAGAGCACUGGCUGUUUUCUUCCAGAGGUCCUGAGUUCAAUUCCCAGCAACCACAUGG